Molecule: long non-coding RNA, 2455 nt
Filed under: Sorghum bicolor (sorghum)
Lineage: Eukaryota; Viridiplantae; Streptophyta; Magnoliopsida; Poales; Poaceae
Description: long non-coding RNA (SBIC_LNC012617)
Source: RNAcentral
CAUGAUUAGUUAGAAAAAUAGAAAACUUUUAUGUCUUUUUACUUUUGCUUGUUUAGAAAAAUUAAAAAUAGAGAAUUUUAGGUUAUUUGUUACUUUAAUUUCUGUAUAAAAAAUUAGAAACUUAUAAUACUUUACGUUGCAAUGCAGACAAUGACACGUCAUUGGAUGUACAAUGCCAAUGGCCGCUCCAAAGAAUUUAUUGAUAGUGUGCAUUAUUUCUUAAGAGUGGACGAGGAAAACAAGCGGGAUGGAUUCAUAUGUUGCUCAUGUGCCUUGUGUCAAAAAGAAAAAACUCUUUAGUCCUAGUUGGUAACACCAACCGGGACUAAAAGUGGUGGCCAGGUGGCACACCCUGGCGCACCUUUUAGUCUCGGUUGCUGUUACCAAUCAGGACUCGGGCCGCGAAACCGGGACUAAAGGUGGGACAUUUAGUUCCGAAACCUUAGCCUCGGUUCUGUAAUCGGGACUAAAGGUCCUUACAGUCCGGGGCUAAAGCUCUUCCCUGCACUAGUGCAUAUAUCAUUAGCCACACCACACUUCAAAUGGUUUAGAUUUUUCUUUGAGACGUUUGUUUUCUUUAGACGACUGGGUUCAAAUACACCUAAUCCAUGUGAGAGUCCAAAUAUUAUUUGCCUGUUUCAUCAAGGUAUGUCACACGGUAUCCCAAGAUCGAUAUAUAUACAUCAUGGUUGUGAGCAUUAUAUUGGAGUGCCAGUGGAAAUUUCACAAUGGUCGGACCGGCUAUAGGGAUGUUGAUCUAGCAUUUGCAGGCGUCACGCCUUUUGUCCCGGUCGAAAACCACUUGUAGUCCCGGAUGACGAGCCGGGACUAAGGGAUCGGGACUAAAAGUCCCACCUUUAGUCCCGGCUCUCCGGCCCGGGACUAAAUGGGACAUUUAGUCCCGGUUGGUAAUACCAACCGGGACUACAGGGGGCGCCAGGCAGUGACGUGGCGCCAACCCUGGCCACCCCUUUUAGUCUCGGUUGGUAUUACCAACCGGGACUAAAGGUUUUUUUAUUUUUGUUUUUGUUUUUCUUUUUCCUUUUCAUUUCUUUAUUGAUUUUGGUUUUCAAUUGUAUAUGUUCUCUAAUUUAAUCGUAUGCGCCGCAAUUAUCCGUAUACAUUGCACCUAUAUAAGAGCGUCAUUAUUGCACACAAAUAAAGUAUGAAACUACAUAUAUAUUAUCCGUAUAAUAUAUAUAUCUAUAUAUAUUAUAUAGCUAUACACAUACGUACAUACACAUUACAUUUACAAUAAUAAUAUUAUGUACAAGUAAUAAUCAAGUGUGCUGCCACCGGUUAAUGAUUACAUAAUGUUUGCUCGCCCACUCAAAGCUCAUACAAGUGUUCGUCCUUGUUUGGAAUGGGCUUGAAGCCCUACGGGUAUAAGUGGAACUCGCCGUCUUCCGGAAUGACAUGAUCGUUGAUAAAUCCGGCGAUCGUCUCCUGGACUCCAAGGAGUAAUAUGUACUCGAACACUUUAUCUUUCAUAUUCCACUCCUUCCAUUUGCAUUAGUUAAAAAAGAUAUUAAUAUACAUAAAAUCUAUUUAGUUCCAACAAAUAAAUAAGAUAUAAAUUUACUGUAUACACAUGCAUGUUACUUACUUUUAGAACACUUUGAGCAGGUUUAAAUAGGGUGCACCGCAUAAAUUCACAAACAUAGUAUCCACAUAGAUUCGUUCCAAACGGCUGCGUCGGCACCCAAGGGAGUAGAACAGGAGGAGGAAGUGACACAUUCAGAUCCGUACCAUAUUUUUGUCGUAGCCAAGCCCAAGCCCUGCCCAAUAAGACGCUCGUUGAUUAGGUAUAGCUAGCAUAAUAAAGUAAAGGAGCACGCAUCGAUAUUUAAAGUAUGAUAUAUACUUACCUCUGGAUCAUGUCUAUUAUGUCUUGAUAGAGUGCCGGGUCUUUUUUCAUUGAGUCCCACACAUGUAUUUUUUGUUCCGUGAUCUUAAUCUCAAUGAGUAUCCAAUGAUCUCUGCAUUUGUUUAGAGUCAACUUAUAUAUGUAUAUCUUAAUGCCGGAUUAACUAAGACAUGAUAUAACGGGAAGAGUAUCUUCUCCGUAUGCCUUUGGUUAUAAAAGAACCUUCGGAGGUUCUUCUCCAUUUCCUUAGGCUUCAGAUUCAAUGGAUCUUUAGUUUUAGUGUCCUUGUACACGACAUAUGGAUCGAUGAAACCAAUUCGAUUGCCUUUUUUCAAUCUUUGUUCUCUCAUCAUGUGUCUGCACAUCGUGAGCGUAGUUAUUACGAAUACAUACAUAUGCUAUAAUGGGAUUAAUGAUUGAAAGGAAGAAUCACUUACAGACAGUAGCAGCUCAUGAGAGAUUUGUCGAGAGCAUUCAUAUGGAGAAGUUGGUGUACUUCACUAAAAUCUAUCCAUAUGACGUCAUCUCCGCGGAUGUAGUGUCGGUCGCGGACUCGGACGACAAUCAAUUCUUCUUCUAUAUGUUUUG